This 1121-nucleotide long non-coding RNA is filed under the name Sparus aurata (gilthead seabream). RNAcentral's name for it is "lncRNA (ENSSAUG00010014625.1)". Lineage: Eukaryota; Metazoa; Chordata; Actinopteri; Spariformes; Sparidae. The record is from RNAcentral.
ACCCGGCCUUCUUGGAGUCCCUGGGAGGGGUACUGGAGAGUGCUCCAACCGGGGACUCCGUCGUUCUCCUGGGGCACUUCAACCCCCACGUGGGCAGCGACAGUGUUACCUGGAGGGGUGUGAUUGGGAGGAACGGCCUCCCCGAUCUGAACCCGAGUGGUGUUUUGUUACUGGACGUCUGUGCUAGUCACAGUUUGUCCAGAACGAACACCAUGUUCAAGCAUAAGGGUGUCCAUAUGUGCACGUGGCACCAGGACACCCUAGGCCGGAGAUCAAUGAUCGACUUUGUGGUCGUGUCAUCUGACCUCCGGCCGUAUGUCUUGGACAUUCGGGUGAAGAGAAGGGCUGAGCUGUCAACUGAUCACCACCUGGUGGUGAGUUGGAUCCGCUGGCGGGGGAGGAAGCCGGACAGACCUGGCAGACCCAAACGUAUCGUGAGGGUCUGCUGGGAACGUCUGGCAGAACCCUCUGCCAGGGAGAUCUUUAACUCCCACCUCCAGGAGAGCUUUGACCAGAUCCUGAGGGAGGCUGGGGACAUUGAGUCCGAAUGGACCAUGUUCUCCACUUCCAUUGUUGACGCGGCUGUCCGGAGCUGUGGCCGUAAGGUCUCCGGUGCCUGUUGCGGCGGCAAUCCCCGAACCCGGUGGUGGACCCCGGAAGUAAGGGUUGCUGUCAAGCUGAAGAAGGAGUCCUACCGAGCCUGGCUGGCCCGGGGGACUCCUGAGGCAGCUGACGGGUACCGGCAGGCCAAGCGUGCGGCAGCACGGGCAGUCUCGGAAGCAAAAACUCGGGUCUGGGAAGAGUUCAGGGAGGCCAUGGAGGAGGACUACCGGUCGGCCUCGAAGAAAUUCUGGCAAACCAUCCGGCGCCUCAGGAGGGGGAAGCAGUCCUCCACCAACACUGUUUACAGUGGAGGUGGGGAGCUGUUGACCUCGACUGGGGAUAUCGUCAGGCGGUGGAAGGAAUACUUCGAGGAUUUCCUCAAUCCCACUGACACGCCUUCCAUAGAGGAAGCAGAGGCUGGGGACUCAGAGGUUGACCCAUCCAUCACCCAAGCCGAAGUCACUGAGGUAGUCCGGAAGCUCCUCGGUGGCAAAGCACCGGGGGUGGAUGAGAUCCGC